Molecule: ribosomal RNA, 253 nt
Filed under: uncultured bacterium
Lineage: Bacteria
Description: partial 16S ribosomal RNA
Rfam family: Bacterial small subunit ribosomal RNA
Source: RNAcentral
UACGAAGGGGGCUAGCGUUGCUCGGAAUCACUGGGCGUAAAGCGCACGUAGGCGGACUCUUAAGUCGGUGGUGAAACCCUGGAGCUCAACUCCAGAACUGCCUUCGAUACUGAGAGACUUGAGUCCGGGAGAGGUGAGUGGAACUGCGAGUGUAGAGGUGAAAUUCGUAGAUAUUCGCAAGAACACCAGUGGCGAAGGCGGCUCACUGGCCCGGUACUGACGCUGAGGUGCGAAAGCGUGGGGAGCGAACAGG